GCCGGGCAUAGUGGCUCAUGCCUGUAAUCCCAGCACUUUGGGAGGCCGAGAUGGGUGGAUCACCUGAGGUCAGGAGUUCGAGACCAGCCUGGCCAACAGGGUGAAACCCCGUCUCUA
RNAcentral lists this non-coding RNA (117 nucleotides) under Chlorocebus sabaeus (green monkey). The record is from Rfam by way of RNAcentral. Lineage: Eukaryota; Metazoa; Chordata; Mammalia; Primates; Cercopithecidae.